RNAcentral lists this ribosomal RNA (422 nucleotides) under uncultured Pedobacter sp. RNAcentral's name for it is "bacterial SSU rRNA". It matches the Rfam family "Bacterial small subunit ribosomal RNA", at positions 355 to 774 of the family's 1533-position model. Lineage: Bacteria; Pseudomonadati; Bacteroidota; Sphingobacteriia; Sphingobacteriales; Sphingobacteriaceae. The record is from RNAcentral.
UAAGGAAUAUUGGUCAAUGGGCGGAAGCCUGAACCAGCCAUGCCGCGUGCAGGAAGACAGCCCUACGGGUCGUAAACUGCUUUUAUCCGGGAAUAAACCCCGCUAUGUAUAGUGGGCUGAAUGUACCGGAAGAAUAAGGAUCGGCUAACUCCGUGCCAGCAGCCGCGGUAAUACGGAGGAUCCAAGCGUUAUCCGGAUUUAUUGGGUUUAAAGGGUGCGUAGGCGGCUUAUUAAGUCAGGGGUGAAAGACGGUGGCUCAACCAUCGCAGUGCCCUUGAUACUGAUGAGCUUGAAUGAACUAGAGGUAGGCGGAAUGUGACAAGUAGCGGUGAAAUGCAUAGAUAUGUCACAGAACACCGAUUGCGAAGGCAGCUUACUAUGGUUUUAUUGACGCUGAGGCACGAAAGCGUGGGGAUCAAACA